AGACCCGAAACCCGGUGAUCUAGCCAUGGGCAGGUUGAAGGUUGGGUAACACUAACUGGAGGACCGAACCGACUAAUGUUGAAAAAUUAGCGGAUGACCUGUGGCUGGGGGUGAAAGGCCAAUCAAACCGGGAGAUAGCUGGUUCUCCCCGAAAGCUAUUUAGGUAGCGCCUCGUGAAUUCAUCUCCGGGGGUAGAGCACUGUUUCGGCUAGGGGGCCAUCCCGGCUUACCAACCCGAUGCAAACUGCGAAUACCGGAGAAUGUUAUCACGGGAGACACACGGCGGGUGCUAACGUCCGUCGUGAAGAGGGAAACAACCCAGACCGCCAGCUAAGGUCCCAAAGUCAUGGUUAAGUGGGAAACGAUGUGGGAAGGCCCAGACAGCCAGGAUGUUGGCUUAGAAGCAGCCAUCAUUUAAAGAAAGCGUAAUAGCUCACUGGUCGAGUCGGCCUGCGCGGAAGAUGUAACGGGGCUAAACCAUGCACCGAAGCUGCGGCAGCGAACGUAUCACCCAAGACAACUUUACGGAGUUGACGAUUGACGGAGCGAAGCGACGUCAAAGCGUUCAUUAAAGUCGAGUUGGCUUAGGGAUACGUUCGUUGGGUAGGGGAGCGUUCUGUAAGCCUGUGAAGGUGUGUCGUGAGGCAUGCUGGAGGUAUCAGAAGUGCGAAUGCUGACAUAAGUAACGAUA
RNAcentral lists this ribosomal RNA (691 nucleotides) under Salmonella enterica. Its description in RNAcentral is "partial 23S ribosomal RNA". It matches the Rfam family "Bacterial large subunit ribosomal RNA", at positions 711 to 1314 of the family's 2925-position model. The record is from RNAcentral. Lineage: Bacteria; Pseudomonadati; Pseudomonadota; Gammaproteobacteria; Enterobacterales; Enterobacteriaceae. RNAcentral also lists the same sequence under 2 other names.